CAGUGGUAUUUGGCUUCUGAAACAGAGUGUCAGGAAGUGCAGAUUGACGUCAGGCAUGGGUGCCGCUGAUUGGCUAGAGUGGUCAGUUGACGCUCUAAGCCAAUCGCUAGUUCCCGGUUCAUAAAAUGUUUUUACUUUUUUAUGAAUGGGGAGCUACUGAUUGGCUUAGAGUGCCAGCUGACCGCUCUAGCCAAUCAGCAACACCCCUACCCAAUGGCACUCUGUGCUUCCUGACACUCAGUAAAUAAAAGUGAACACAUUAACACCAAUAUUUUUUUACCUUUGGAGAUGAGAAGGUCCAGCGUUUCCCUGCCAGGCACUUUACCUUUGUGCUCCUUCUGAUUCUUUCUGCUCCUUUACCUUUGUGCUCCUUGCUGUCUCUUU
Non-coding RNA from Pelobates cultripes (western spadefoot toad), 384 nucleotides. NCBI's taxonomy places the organism in Eukaryota, Metazoa, Chordata, Amphibia, Anura, Pelobatidae. The record is from the annotation of a GenBank genome assembly.